CCAUCACCUGUGCCACGCCCGUCACCUGUGCCACGCCCUACACCUGCGGGGAUUGUGGGAAGGGAUUCGGGGGAAGCUCCGCCCUCAUCCGGCACCAGCGGCUGCACCUGGGCUAGGAAAAACCGGAACCGGAAUUGAAACCGGGACCGGGACUGGGAAAGUUCUGGAACCGGAACUGGAACUGGGAUCAGAACCUGAACUGAGACCAGAACCGGAACCAGAAUUGAAACUGGGACUGGAAACUGGAACCGGAACCAGGACUGGAACCAGGAAACCACCGGAACUGGGACCUUUCUAGAGUCAGAACUGGGACCAGGAACCUUCCAGAACCCUCUGGAACCGGGACCAUUCCAGAACCUGGAACCUUCCAGAACUGGGACCCUUCCGGAGCCAGAACCGGGACCUUUCCAGAACCGGGACCCUUCUGGGUUGGACCCUUCUGAACUGGAGCCCUUUGGAACCGGGAACCUUCCGGAACCGGGACAGGAGGGGAAAGGACUCGAGGGGGCGUCCCCGUGGCCAUGGAGCUGUGGGGGAACCCCCGACCCUGGGAAUCCAUUCCUGACCCCCCAAAAUCCAUUCCGGACCUUUGGGAAUCCAUUCCGGACCCCCAAAUCCAUUCCUGAUCCCCAAAAUCCAUUCCGGACCCCCAAAUCCAAUCCUGACCCCCCCAAAAUCCAUCCGGACCUUUGGGAAUCCAUUCCAGACCCUCGGGAAUCCAUUCUGGACCUUUGGGAAUCCACUCCUGACCCACAGGAAUCCAUUCCUGACCCCAAAAUCCAUUCCGGACCUUUGGGAAUCCAUUUCUGACCCCCAAAUCCAUUCCGGACCUUUGGGAAUCCAUUCCUGACCCUCAGAAUCCAUUCCGGACCUUUGGGAAUCCAUUCCGGACCUUUGGGAAUCCAUUCCUGACCACCCAAAAUCCAUUCCGGACAUUUGGGAAUCCAUUCCUGACCACCCAAAAUCCAUUCCAGACCUUUGGGAAUCCA
Molecule: long non-coding RNA, 989 nt
Filed under: Zonotrichia albicollis (white-throated sparrow)
Lineage: Eukaryota; Metazoa; Chordata; Aves; Passeriformes; Passerellidae
Description: lncRNA (ENSZALG00000000505.1)
Source: RNAcentral